This 367-nucleotide ribosomal RNA is filed under the name uncultured bacterium. Its description in RNAcentral is "bacterial SSU rRNA". It matches the Rfam family "Bacterial small subunit ribosomal RNA", at positions 335 to 684 of the family's 1533-position model. The record is from RNAcentral.
ACUCCUACGGGAGGCAGCAGUAGGGAAUCUUCCACAAUGGGCGCAAGCCUGAUGGAGCAACACCGCGUGAGUGAAGAAGGGUUUCGGCUACGUAAAGCUCUGUUGUUAAAGAAGAACACGUAUGAGAGUAACUGUUCAUACGUUGACGGUUAUUUAACCAGAAAGUCACGGCUAACUACGUGCCAGCAGCCGCGGUAAUACGUAGGUGGCAAGCGUUAUCCGGUAUUUAGUUGGGACGUAAAGAGAGUGCAGGUCGGUUUUACUAAGUCUGAUGUGAAACGUCCUUCGGUCUUAAACCGGAGAAGUGCAUCGGAAACUGGUAUAACUUGAGUGCAGAAGAGGUAGUGGAACUCAUGUGUAGCGGUGG